Molecule: ribosomal RNA, 468 nt
Filed under: uncultured bacterium
Lineage: Bacteria
Description: partial 16S ribosomal RNA
Rfam family: Bacterial small subunit ribosomal RNA
Source: RNAcentral
GAUGAACGCUGGCGGCGUGCCUAACACAUGCAAGUCGAACGGAAAGACGCUGUUUUUUUCUGGUUCUCGAGUGGGGAACGGGUGGGUAAGACGUGAGUAACCACCCCUUGUCUUUGGGAUAACUUCGUGAAGCAGGGUCUACUACCGCAUAGGAUUCUCUGAUGCGUGGUGGGGGUUGGAAAGUUUCGGUGGGUUGGGAUGGACGCGCGGGUUAUCAGCUUUAUGGGGAGGUAGUGGCGUACCCCGGCUCAGACGGGUAGACGGCCUGAGAGGGGGACCGGGGCCAUUGGGACUGAGGUACGGACCAGAGUGGUACGUGGGACAGAGGUGGGGAAUAUUGUACAAUGAGCGCAAGCGUGAUGCAGCAACGCUGCGUUCGGGAUGACGGCCUUCUGGUGGUAAACCGCUUUCGCCUGUGACGAAGCGUGGGUGACGGUAAUGGGUAAAGAAGCACCGGCUAACUACGUG